RNAcentral lists this transfer RNA (77 nucleotides) under Spongiibacter sp. RNAcentral's name for it is "tRNA-Pro". It matches the Rfam family "tRNA". From Rfam's summary of the family: Transfer RNA (tRNA) molecules are approximately 80 nucleotides in length. Their secondary structure includes four short double-helical elements and three loops (D, anti-codon, and T loops). Lineage: Bacteria; Pseudomonadati; Pseudomonadota; Gammaproteobacteria; Cellvibrionales; Spongiibacteraceae. The record is from RNAcentral.
CGGAGUGUAGCUCAGCUUGGUAGAGCACUGCCUUCGGGAGGCAGGGGUCGGAGGUUCGAAUCCUCUCAUUCCGACCA